AGAGUUUGAUCAUGGCUCAGAUUGAACGCUGGCGGCAGGCCUAACACAUGCAAGUCGAGCGGUAGCACAGAAGAGCUUGCUCUUUGGGUGACGAGCGGCGGACGGGUGAGUAAUGUCUGGGAAACUGCCUGAUGGAGGGGGAUAACUACUGGAAACGGUAGCUAAUACCGCAUAACCUCGCAAGAGCAAAGAGGGGGACCUUAGGGCCUCUCGCCAUCAGAUGUGCCCAGAUGGGAUUAGCUAGUAGGUGAGGUAAUGGCUCACCUAGGCGACGAUCCCUAGCUGGUCUGAGAGGAUGACCAGCCACACUGGAACUGAGACACGGUCCAGACUCCUACGGGAGGCAGCAGUGGGGAAUAUUGCACAAUGGGCGCAAGCCUGAUGCAGCCAUGCCGCGUGUGUGAAGAAGGCCUUCGGGUUGUAAAGCACUUUCAGCGGGGAGGAAGGCAGUAAGGUUAAUAACCUUGCUGAUUGACGUUACCCGCAGAAGAAGCACCGGCUAACUCCGUGCCAGCAGCCGCGGUAAUACGGAGGGUGCAAGCGUUAAUCGGAAUGACUGGGCGUAAAGCGCACGCAGGCGGUCUGUUAAGUUGGAUGUGAAAUCCCCGGGCUUAACCUGGGAACUGCAUUCAAAACUGACAGGCUAGAGUCUUGUAGAGGGGGGUAGAAUUCCAGGUGUAGCGGUGAAAUGCGUAGAGAUCUGGAGGAAUACCGGUGGCGAAGGCGGCCCCCUGGACAAAGACUGACGCUCAGGUGCGAAAGCGUGGGGAGCAAACAGGAUUAGAUACCCUGGUAGUCCACGCUGUAAACGAUGUCGAUUUGGAGGUUGUGCCCUUGAGGCGUGGCUUCCGGAGCUAACGCGUUAAAUCGACCGCCUGGGGAGUACGGCCGCAAGGUUAAAACUCAAAUGAAUUGACGGGGGCCCGCACAAGCGGUGGAGCAUGUGGUUUAAUUCGAUGCAACGCGAAGAACCUUACCUACUCUUGACAUCCACAGAAUUCGGCAGAGAUGCCUUAGUGCCUUCGGGAACUGUGAGACAGGUGCUGCAUGGCUGUCGUCAGCUCGUGUUGUGAAAUGUUGGGUUAAGUCCCGCAACGAGCGCAACCCUUAUCCUUUGUUGCCAGCGAUUCGGUCGGGAACUCAAAGGAGACUGCCGGUGAUAAACCGGAGGAAGGUGGGGAUGACGUCAAGUCAUCAUGGCCCUUACGAGUAGGGCUACACACGUGCUACAAUGGCGUAUACAAAGAGAAGCGACCUCGCGAGAGCAAGCGGACCUCAUAAAGUACGUCGUAGUCCGGAUUGGAGUCUGCAACUCGACUCCAUGAAGUCGGAAUCGCUAGUAAUCGUAGAUCAGAAUGCUACGGUGAAUACGUUCCCGGGCCUUGUACACACCGCCCGUCACACCAUGGGAGUGGGUUGCAAAAGAAGUAGGUAGCUUAACCUUCGGGAGGGCGCUUACCACUUUGUGAUUCAUGACUGGGGUGAAGUCGUAACAAGGUAACCGUAGGGGAACCUGCGGUUGGAUCACCU
This 1530-nucleotide ribosomal RNA is filed under the name Pectobacterium brasiliense. RNAcentral's name for it is "16S ribosomal RNA". It matches the Rfam family "Bacterial small subunit ribosomal RNA". The record is from RNAcentral. Lineage: Bacteria; Pseudomonadati; Pseudomonadota; Gammaproteobacteria; Enterobacterales; Pectobacteriaceae.